RNAcentral lists this ribosomal RNA (429 nucleotides) under Bacteroidota bacterium. Its description in RNAcentral is "Bacteroidetes bacterium partial 16S ribosomal RNA". It matches the Rfam family "Bacterial small subunit ribosomal RNA", at positions 355 to 776 of the family's 1533-position model. Lineage: Bacteria; Pseudomonadati; Bacteroidota. The record is from RNAcentral.
UAGGGAAUCUUCGGCAAUGGGGGGAACCCUGACCGAGCAACGCCGCGUGAGUGAAGAAGGUUUUCGGAUCGUAAAGCUCUGUUGUUAAGCAAGAACGAGCGUGAGAAUGGAAAGUUCAUACUGUGACGGUACUUAACCAGAAAGGGACGGCUAACUACGUGCCAGCAUCCGCGGUAAUACGUAGGUCCCGAGCGUUGUCCGGAUUUAUUGGGCGUAAAGCGAGCGCAGGCGGUUAGAUAAGUCUGAAGUUAAAGGCAGUGGCUCAACCAUUGUAGGCUUUGGAAACUGUUUAACGUGAGUGCAGAAGGGGAGAGUGGAAUUCCAUGUGUAGCGGUGAAAUGCGUAGAUAUAUGGAGGAACACCGGUGGCGAAAGCGGCUCUCUGGUCUCUAACUGACGCUGAGGCUCGAAAGCGUGGGGAGCGAACAGG